RNAcentral lists this ribosomal RNA (433 nucleotides) under uncultured bacterium. RNAcentral describes it as "bacterial SSU rRNA". It matches the Rfam family "Bacterial small subunit ribosomal RNA", at positions 30 to 504 of the family's 1533-position model. The record is from RNAcentral.
UGAACGCUGGCGGUAUGCUUUACACAUGCAAGUCGUACGAGAGUUUUUAACUCAAGUGGCGGACGGGUGAGUAACACGUGAGAAUCUACCUUUAGGAGGGGGAUAACAACUGGAAACGGUUGCUAAUACCCCAUAUGCUUUCGAGUGAAAUGAAUUUAUUCGCCUAGAGAGGAGCUCGCGGCUGAUUAGCUUGUUGGUAGGGUAAAGGCCUACCAAGGCGACGAUCAGUAUCUGGUUUGAGAGGACGAUCAGACACACUGGAACUGAGACACGGUCCAGACUCCUACGGGAGGCAGCAGUGGGGAAUUUUCCGCAAUGGGCGAAAGCCUGACGGAGCAAUACCGCGUGAGGGAAGACGGCCUAUGGGUUGUAAACCUCUUUUUUCAGGGAGGAAUCAAUGACGUUACCUGAAGAAUAAGCAUCGGCUAACUCC